RNAcentral lists this ribosomal RNA (254 nucleotides) under uncultured bacterium. RNAcentral describes it as "partial 16S ribosomal RNA". It matches the Rfam family "Bacterial small subunit ribosomal RNA", at positions 524 to 776 of the family's 1533-position model. The record is from RNAcentral.
CACGUAGGGGGCGAGCGUUGUCCGGAUUUAUUGGGCGUAAAGAGCUCGUAGGCGGCUUGGUAAGUCAGGUGUGAAACCUCCAGGCUCAACCUGGAGACGCCACUUGAUACUGCCAUAGCUAGAGUCCGGUAGGGGAGCGUGGAAUUUCUGGUGUAGCGGUGAAAUGCGCAGAUAUCAGGAGGAACACCGGUGGCGAAGGCGGUUCUCUGGGCAUUACCUGACGCUGAGGAGCGAAAGCGUGGGGAGCAAACAGG